Molecule: long non-coding RNA, 682 nt
Organism: Tupaia belangeri chinensis (Chinese tree shrew)
Lineage: Eukaryota; Metazoa; Chordata; Mammalia; Scandentia; Tupaiidae
Exons: 6
Source: RefSeq, a predicted model, not a curated record
GAAACUCUGUCAUCUGGAAGAAGCAUCUUCCAUUAAGACAUGACCAGUCAUCUCAGAAAGAACAAAGCUCUUGGAGUAUAAAGCCCACCAGAUAAUAUGCACUGCUGUCCAUGGAUUGUGUAUGAGGAAAGUCCACAGAGUUUGACCAUGGAACUGAAUAGAUGUGGAUUCUUUUCAUGUCUUGCCAACUCUUGAGAUGCGAAGGAUCUCCUCUUGAGGAAGACAUGGAGCAGGCAGUGGGCUUCACCACAACAAAUGGAAUCAUCCUCCCCAUGAAGGAGAGACCUAGGAGAAUUGCAGUCACGCAUCCUGAAGGGCCAAAAGGAAUUUACACAGAAGAUAGAGUUCAAGGCUGGUUCACAAAUGGAAGGCCUCACAAAUCAACUUGUCCAGAAUUGCUGACAUCUCAACGCCUUCCCAGAUGUGAAUGAUAGCCAAUUCUACUUGAGAUCAAAUUCGAGGGCAGUCCACGAACUUAUGGCCUAAACAGCUCAGCAAGUCAUGAAUUGCCAGUUUCUCCCAGCACCCACAGUUGUGAAGGAAGGAAACCAUUCGAUUUGAGAAAACUGAGCAUAGGGCAUGGGCUUCGAGAACAACUGGACUGUUUCUCUCAUGUGGGUUAGUGACAGAAGAGACCUAGGAGUACGACAGCUUCCAAUCCUGAGUAGCCCAUAAAGGAGUC